AUGAACGCUGGCGGCGUGCCUAAUACAUGCCAGUCGCGCGAACUUUUGGGAGCUUGCUCCCCAAAGUUAGCGGCGGACGGGUGAGUAACACGUGGGUAACCUGCCUGUAAGACUGGGAUAACUUCGGGAAACCGGAGCUAAUACCGGAUAACAUUUAAGACCACAUGGCCUUCGAUUAAAAGGUGGCUUUUAGCUACCACUUACAGAUGGACCCGCGGCGCAUUAGCUAGUUGGUGAGGUAACGGCUCACCAAGGCGACGAUGCGUAGCCGACCUGAGAGGGUGAUCGGCCACACUGGGACUGAGACACGGCCCAGACUCCUACGGGAGGCAGCAGUAGGGAAUCUUCCGAAAUGGACGAAAGUCUGACGGAGCAACGCCGCGUGAGCGAAGAAGGCCGUCGGGUCGUAAAGCUCGGUUGUUAGGGAAGAACAAGUAUCGUUCGAAUAGGGCGGUACCUUGACGGUACCUAACCAGAAAGCCACGGCUAACUACGUG
This 497-nucleotide ribosomal RNA is filed under the name uncultured bacterium. RNAcentral's name for it is "partial 16S ribosomal RNA". It matches the Rfam family "Bacterial small subunit ribosomal RNA", at positions 29 to 507 of the family's 1533-position model. The record is from RNAcentral.